GACGAACGCUGGCGGCGUGCCUAAUACAUGCAAGUCGAACGCAGUGGGGACGGGUGAGUAACACGUGGGUAACCUCCCAUCUGAGGGGAUAACACGUGGAAACAGGUGCUAAACCGCAACUGAUGGAUGGACCCGCGGGGCAUUCGCUAGGUGGUGAGGGAACGGCCCACCAAGGCCACGAUGCAUAGCCGACCGGAGAGGGUGAUCAGGCAAAUUGGAACUGAGACACGGUCCAGACUCCGACGGGAGGCAGCAGGGGGGAAUAUUGGACAAUGGGCGAAAGCCUGAUCCAGCCAUGCCGCGUGUGUGAAGAAGGUCUUCGGAUUGUAAAGGACUUUAAGUUGGGAGGCGGUACCAACAGAAUAAGCACCGGCUAACUUCGUGCCAGCAGCCGCGGUAAUAC
RNAcentral lists this ribosomal RNA (403 nucleotides) under uncultured bacterium. RNAcentral's name for it is "partial 16S ribosomal RNA". It matches the Rfam family "Bacterial small subunit ribosomal RNA", at positions 28 to 526 of the family's 1533-position model. The record is from RNAcentral.